RNAcentral lists this ribosomal RNA (117 nucleotides) under Pterocles gutturalis (yellow-throated sandgrouse). The record is from RNAcentral. Lineage: Eukaryota; Metazoa; Chordata; Aves; Pterocliformes; Pteroclidae.
CUGUAAGAGAAUAGCACCCUGAGAACACCCAAUCUUGUCUGGUCUCAGAAGGUAAGCAGGAUAGGGCCCGGUUAGUGCUUGGAUGGGAGGUGGCCUGGGAAUAUCAGGUGCUGUAGG